GGGACAACGUUCGAAGGAACGUAUACCGCUACUCCACGGGAGAAAGCAGGGGACCUCGGGCUUGCGUUCAGUGAGCUAGUCGGUUAGCUAGUGGGGGGAAUGGCUCACCAAGGCGACGAUCCUAACUGGCUGAGAGGUGAUCAGUCACACUGGAACUGAGACACGGCCAGACUCCUACGGGAGGCAGCAGUGGGGAAUAUUGGACAAUGGGCGAAAGCUGUCCAGCCUGCCGCUGGUGAAGAAGGCUUCGGUUGAAAGCAUUUAAGUGGGAGGAAGGGCA
This 280-nucleotide ribosomal RNA is filed under the name Pseudomonas sp. GGI-16. Its description in RNAcentral is "partial 16S ribosomal RNA". It matches the Rfam family "Bacterial small subunit ribosomal RNA", at positions 140 to 454 of the family's 1533-position model. Lineage: Bacteria; Pseudomonadati; Pseudomonadota; Gammaproteobacteria; Pseudomonadales; Pseudomonadaceae. The record is from RNAcentral.